AGAUUGAACGCUGGCGGCAUGCCUAACACAUGCAAGUCGAACGGGAGUAGCAAUACUCUAGUGGCGGACGGGUGAGGAAUACGUAGGAAUUUGCCCUUAAGUGGGGGAUAACCCGGGGAAACCCGGAUUAAUACCGCAUGACCUCGAAAGAGCAAAGUGGGGGAUCGCAAGACCUCACGCUUUUGGAGAAGCCUACGUCGGAUUAGCUAGUUGGUGAGGUAAUGGCUCACCAAGGCGACGAUCCGUAACUGGUCUGAGAGGAUGAUCAGUCACACCGGAACUGAGACACGGUCCGGACUCCGUACGGGAGCAGCAGUGGGGAAUAUUGGACAAGUGGGCGCAAGCCUGAUCCAGCAAUGCCGCGUGUGUGAAGAAGGCCGUUAGGUUGUAAGCUACGUUUAAGUUAGGGAAACGAAAAAACU
RNAcentral lists this ribosomal RNA (422 nucleotides) under uncultured soil bacterium. Its description in RNAcentral is "bacterial SSU rRNA". It matches the Rfam family "Bacterial small subunit ribosomal RNA", at positions 26 to 459 of the family's 1533-position model. The record is from RNAcentral.